This 460-nucleotide ribosomal RNA is filed under the name uncultured bacterium. RNAcentral describes it as "partial 16S ribosomal RNA". It matches the Rfam family "Bacterial small subunit ribosomal RNA", at positions 338 to 795 of the family's 1533-position model. The record is from RNAcentral.
CCUACGGGGGGCAGCAGUGAGGAAUAUUGGUCAAUGGACGAGAGUCUGAACCAGCCAAGUAGCGUGAAGGAUGACUGCCCUAUGGGUUGUAAACUUCUUUUAUAUGGGAAUAAAAUGUUCCACGUGUGGGAUUUUGUAUGUACCAUAUGAAUAAGGAUCGGCUAACUCCGUGCCAGCAGCCGCGGUAAUACGGAGGAUCCGAGCGUUAUCCGGAUUUAUUGGGUUUAAAGGGAGCGUAGGUGGAUUGUUAAGUCAGUUGUGAAAGUUUGCGGCUCAACCGUAAAAUUGCAGUUGAAACUGGCAGUCUUGAGUACAGUAGAAGUGUGCGGAAUGCGUGGUGUAGCGGUGAAAUGCUUAGAUAUCACGAAGAACUCCGAUUGCGAAGGCAGUUCACUGGACUGCAACUGACACUGAGGCUCGAAAGUGUGGGUAUCAAACAGGAUUAGAUACCCUGGUAGUC